AUACGGAGGGUGCAAGCGUUAAUCGGAAUUACUGGGCGUAAAGCGCUCGUAGGCGGUUUGUUAAGUCGGAUGUGAAAGCCCCGGGCUCAACCUGGGAACUGCAUUCGAUACUGGCAAACUAGAGUAUAGUAGAGGCAAGUGGAAUUCCAGGUGUAGCGGUGAAAUGCGUAGAUAUCUGGAGGAACAUCAGUGGCGAAGGCGACUUACUGGACCAAUACUGACGCUGAGGUGCGAAAGCGUGGGGAGCAAACAGAAUUAGAAACCCCGGUAGUCC
Molecule: ribosomal RNA, 274 nt
Filed under: uncultured bacterium
Lineage: Bacteria
Description: partial 16S ribosomal RNA
Rfam family: Bacterial small subunit ribosomal RNA
Source: RNAcentral